AGAGUUUGAUCAUGGCUCAGGAUGAACGCUAGCUACAGGCUUAACACAUGCAAGUCGAGGGGAAACGACAUCGAAAGCUUGCUUUUGAUGGGCGUCGACCGGCGCACGGGUGAGUAACGCGUAUCCAACCUGCCCACCACUUGGGGAUAACCUUGCGAAAGUAAGACUAAUACCCAAUGACGUCUCUAGAAGACAUCUGAAAGGAAUUAAAGAUUAUCGGUGAUGGAUGGGGAUGCGUCUGAUUAGCUUGUUGGCGGGGUAACGGCCACCAAGGCUACGAUCAGUAGGGGGUUCUGAGAGGAAGGUCCCCCGACAUUGGAACUGAGACACGGUCCAAACGUCCUACGGGAGGCA
RNAcentral lists this ribosomal RNA (354 nucleotides) under uncultured bacterium. RNAcentral describes it as "bacterial SSU rRNA". It matches the Rfam family "Bacterial small subunit ribosomal RNA", at positions 8 to 350 of the family's 1533-position model. The record is from RNAcentral.